Molecule: long non-coding RNA, 586 nt
Organism: Gossypium arboreum
Lineage: Eukaryota; Viridiplantae; Streptophyta; Magnoliopsida; Malvales; Malvaceae
Exons: 2
Source: RefSeq, a predicted model, not a curated record
CUUGAGAAUUACAACACACUAACAGCAGAGAAACAACAACACAAGAAAGAAAAUAAAGAAGUAGCAGACAAGAAAAGAAACAGAGAUGACAAUUAAGAAAAGAGACUUGUUUAUUUUUCAAGCAGAUAUCCCUGCAACACCCCAUAUCUGCCUAUUUAACGAAGUCUUGGUGUCGUUACAACCCAAAUAAUCAGAACCACCUAAGUAUUUACAACCAUUAAGAUCGGAACCACCAAAACCAUAUGCUUUGACUUCCAAAACUCACCAUAUUAUUCUUAAAACAUAAAGAAACAAAACAACAUGUCAAUAGUGUAAAUGAGCACGUGACAAUGUAGCAUCAUUGAAAUGAAAAUUGCUAAAGAAAAAUGGCGGACCUCGAAACUCCGACGUCGAAGAUAGUUUUCAAUUUAUGCAGCAGCAGCAGCAACAAUUAUAACCUCAAGGCUCAUACCAGCAGCAAUUUCCACCACCAAAUUCAACAGGGGAGGGAUGGGAGACCGUAGACUGAAGACGGGUGAGGGAUUUGCCUAACCUCAGAAAGCCUGGUGAACCGAUGAAGAAAUGAAGAACAUUGGAGAGUUUUGAU